Molecule: ribosomal RNA, 468 nt
Filed under: uncultured bacterium
Lineage: Bacteria
Description: partial 16S ribosomal RNA
Rfam family: Bacterial small subunit ribosomal RNA
Source: RNAcentral
AACGAACGCUGGCGGCGGGCUUAACACAUGCAAGUCGAGCGGAACCUCCCGGGUUUGCGGCGGUGCUGUGAGUGACAACUGGGAAUAAGCCCUUCACUAAGCUAUCGUUGAGUUUGAGAUGAGUUCAUAAAGCUUACGCUCAUACCGGGUAAGAUCUCCUGCUGCAGGAUGAGCCUGGGUAGGUUUAGGCGGUUGGGGAUGGACUGGCGGCUUAUCAGCUUGUUGGUGGGGUAGUGUCUUAGCAAGACUUUGACGGGUAGCCGGCCUGAGAGGGUGAACGGCAACAGUGGGAUUGAGAUACGGCACAGACUCCUACGGGAGGCAGCAGUGGGGAAUAUUGCACAAUGGGAGGAAGCCUGAUGCAGCAACGCCGCGUGCGGGAUGACGGCCUUCGGGUAGUAAACCGCUUUCGCCUGUGACGAAGCGUGAGUGACGGUAAUGGGUAAAGAAGCACCGGCUAACUACGUG